This 338-nucleotide long non-coding RNA is filed under the name Neodiprion pinetum (white pine sawfly). RNAcentral's name for it is "uncharacterized LOC124221702". The record is from RNAcentral. Lineage: Eukaryota; Metazoa; Arthropoda; Insecta; Hymenoptera; Diprionidae.
CAUUGGCAUGGGAAGUGGCGGUACCAAGUGUGGUUAUCGGGAACUAGAUUUGCCGCAACACGCCGUCGUCGGUCGAAGGACACAACGGGACCCAUCGGCGAACAUUUCGGUCUGUAUCAAUCGCGGUGACCUCUCUAGGAAUUCCUCUUACCGGGGAUCGGCCGUCUUGGGAAGGUGGUGCAGGUCGCAAAGACCGGACCGAAGUCGGUGGGGACGGCUUGGGUAAAAGCCGAGGGAACAGCGGUGCCAGAUGUAGUCGCAACUUUGCGAUUCACUCAGCAGCUCUCUUCGAAAACAUCUUCAACGGUCUGUAGAUCUCUUUGGUCUAUCGACGAUAC